CUGACAUCCAUGGACAGUGAAGUCCUAAACUUCUCCCUAGAACAUGUUCUAUAUAACUAGAUCCAUAGUAAUGCAGGCCUCUCCACAUUGGAUGUGUCUUAACUGAUCUGGAGGGACAGCACUAGAGGUGAGCUGGCAAUUCAGUCUCCACGUUCAUUAACUCCUUCAGGUCCU
Unclassified non-coding RNA from Chelonoidis abingdonii (Abingdon island giant tortoise), 174 nucleotides. The record is from Ensembl. Lineage: Eukaryota; Metazoa; Chordata; Testudines; Testudinidae.